Molecule: long non-coding RNA, 503 nt
Filed under: Homo sapiens (human)
Lineage: Eukaryota; Metazoa; Chordata; Mammalia; Primates; Hominidae
Description: non-protein coding lnc-B4GALT4-2:1
Source: RNAcentral
GAGCGCAGGGAGUACGCCAUGUCCUGAGAAGGGGCGAUUCUCAGGCUCUGGCAGUUACAGCUUCUCCUCACCCUGCCGAGCAACCAGGCCACGGGGCUCCGUGCAUCGCCACCUAGAGUGUUACCCUCUUCCUUGUUCACAGAGGUUCUCCGCAGUGUGUGAGAAAGAGGCCCUCUCUCAGAUGAAUGGAUAAAGAAAAUGCAGGACAUAUGGUGGGAGGAGCCAAGAUGGCCGAAUAGGAACAGCUCCGGUCUACAGCUCCCAGUGUGAGCGACACAGAAGACAGGCAAGAAGAAUAAAUGUCUCUGGUGGAACUUUUGCUCUGGUGGAACUGCUUUUCUAGAACUGGUGGCUAAAGCAAUCCUAGUGAGACAAUGGCAUGAGUAAUAGUAACAGAGGAGUUAAGCAGUUGUGAUUUUCUGCUCCAAUAAUAGAAUGAAGUCUCAAGUUUUCAUGUAGACACAAGUCCCUGAGACCUGCCGUGCCCCAGCAGAUUUCCUGCA